AUACGGAGGGGGUUAGCGUUGUUCGGAAUUACUGGGCGUAAAGCGCACGUAGGCGGACUGGAAAGUUGGGGGUGAAAUCCCGGGGCUCAACCCCGGAACUGCCUCCAAAACUUCCAAUCCAGAGAUCGAGAGAGGUGAGUGGAAUUCCAAGUGUAGAGGUGAAAUUCGUAGAUAUUUGGAGGAACACCAGUGGCGAAGGCGGCUCACUGGCUCGAUACUGACGCUGAGGUGCGAAAGCGUGGGGAGCAAACAGGAUUAGAUACCCUAGUAGUCC
This 274-nucleotide ribosomal RNA is filed under the name uncultured bacterium. RNAcentral's name for it is "partial 16S ribosomal RNA". It matches the Rfam family "Bacterial small subunit ribosomal RNA", at positions 523 to 796 of the family's 1533-position model. The record is from RNAcentral.